GCCCUCAUAGCUCAGCUGGUAGAGCACACCCUUGGUAAGGGUGAGGUCACGAGUUCAAGUCUCGUUGAGGGCUCAA
Molecule: transfer RNA, 76 nt
Filed under: Anaerolineae bacterium
Lineage: Bacteria; Bacillati; Chloroflexota; Anaerolineae
Description: tRNA-Thr
Rfam family: tRNA
About the family: Transfer RNA (tRNA) molecules are approximately 80 nucleotides in length. Their secondary structure includes four short double-helical elements and three loops (D, anti-codon, and T loops).
Source: RNAcentral